CUUGCAUUCAUUAUGAAUUGACUCAAGACCGAGUUGAGUGGCAUAGUUGGUUAAGGUCAAUGUAACCUUAGGAAAGAAUAAAAACUGAGUAAAGUGUGGCUAAGAAUAAAGAAUAAAGAAUGACAUGUGAUACAGAAUUGCCAAUAUUAUAAAGAAUGGUAAGUGAUAGAGAGUAGAAUCAAUUAAUCUACUUGUAUGAGUUGCAUGAUCUACAUAUUGCAUGUCUUGAGGCACAAAUAUGUAUUUAAUAUUUGCAUUAAUUAUUUGUGGAUAUCUGUUGGACUAACAUGUUUGCAGUGCCUCAUUUGGACCUGGUGGGUCGAGCUUUUCCCUUGGAUGGCCGUACCCACUGGGAACUAUGGACAAUAGUUCUCACCCCCCGUAUUGUUUUUGGGGGUAUAGGUUCACACGUGAGCGGCGCGGCGGCGCGAGGAAAGGGCGUAGCUCCGUAGAUAGCGCCCUACCACCGAGACCAGAAAUAGUAUUACCCCGAGUCGGCUUAGCUAGGGGUUGUAGAAAAGAUGUAAAACAAUAUUGUAAUAAUCUUGAUUGUAUUUGGAAGAAAAGAAAAGGAAAAGUGUAAUAUGUGAUGUAGAAUGUAUUAAGUGAAUUGAAUGCUUGUAAUAACUCAGUUGUUUAUGUUUUUGAUACUUCCUUAUGCAAUCUGUAUGUUGAAUAUUGUUCCUGAUUGGAACCUCUUGUAAUGUAUUGAUUGCGACGCCUUGAAUGUAUAGGGGAGACUCUAUUCGUGGUACAGGGGAAACCCUGCCCGUUCGGCGGUCUGUCAGCGUGCCCGAAUCCGACCAAAGAGGCGGGCUCGGGGAGUGACAGAACCCCUCGGGCAGUCCGACUUGAAGUGACCCUCUUUGCCACACGAAUAGCACCUGCCCCGACCCUGUGAGCACUGCCGUGGGUAAUGGCGACCACCGCAGAUCACACAACUCAGAGUCUGGUGACGCUCAGAUCCUCCACGCUGUGCUGAUGAGUCACGUCCUCGCGACUGGCUCCUAUUCCUAGGGUGUCUCGGCGGCCUCCUAGAGUGCUCCUGGCUCGCACCCUCAGCCGCGGGCCUUUUGCCCUUUCCUUUAUCCAAGCCCUCACGGCGCUCCUGCAGAUCCGCCGCGCCGCUCUCCACAAUGAGCGCGCGGUUUACCACAUCUCGGUAAGUCUGGAGGUUGGAAGACUGCACCAACCGAAAGAUCGACGGUCGAAGUCCUCGCUCGAAGAUGCGAGCCUUAUUCUCGUCGUCUCGCACUACAAAGGGCACAUAGUGUAGAAGCCGAGAGAAUUCCCUCUCGUACUCGGCCACAGUCCGAUCCCCCUAGCGCAUCUCGCGCAGAUCUUGCUCCAUUUUUCUCUUAACACUGACGGGGAAGUAGUGCUCCAACAAGAGUUCCUUGAACUUCUUCCAAGAAAUUGCUGCUAGGUCGGUGUUGGGAUUAUCCUGGAUUCCCAACCACCAGCUAUAGGCCUCGCCGACCAAGUGAUGAGUGGCGAGCCAAACUCUAUCCCUCUCCUCCACGAAAGUGUCGCGGAAUAACUUUUCCAUAUGCAUCAACCACUUCUCUACGAUCUAGUGGUCGGCUUUCUCACCAUCGAAGAUUCUGGGGCUACACCUCCUGAACUCGUUGAGGCGAUUCAUGAGCCGCUCCCGCUCCGCUCCCUCAACCAUUACGGGGAAAAUUGCUGUUGCUACAGGCACCUGAGCUGGGGGUGCCGCAAAUACCUCCUCCCGAGGUGCUGCCGCAGGUGCCGUCCGCGAAGUGCCAUGUGCAGAGGACGACCCCCUGGGUGUCGCCACCUCUACCGGCGCGGGUGGUACAGGGACUUGAGCCUCCCUGGCAGCCGUCUGCUGAAGUAGAAGAUCCUCUAGGUGCUGCAUCCGUGCCUCUUGCCGACGCGCCGCAUCUGCCUGCUGCCGAGCCGUCGCCACCUGCUGCGUUACCAAGUCUGUGAGGGCCGCAAGCUGGCUCCUCAACUCACGGAUCUCGUCGAAUCCGGAGGUAGCGGAUGUCUCCACUUCCUCAAAAGUUGCCGUAUCGUCCGCUCCAACAGACUUAGAGCGUAUCGUCGGCAUUAGCACUACAACAUCAUAAAAACGUAAGUUAAUAAAACCCACGCUAUCGCAACCCCGCUCAACAAUAAGUACCCAAAUCAUGCGAAAGUAAGGAAGUGUUCUUUACUACUAACUCCCGAUGUUACGUUGUCGGCCGCCAACGUAACCCUCCGCGAAGUUAGAAGCUAUACACUUCGAUUUAACUCCACUUUCUAGAGUUAUCAAGAAUACCCAAUCAUGAUACUUUCGCUUACAAAUCAAAUAGACCUCGUCUCUCACGAGUCUAAUUCCUAUAGUCCAACCGGCCUAAGGUUUACUAGGUCCACUAAGACUCAACUCUAGGCUCUGAUACGAAAUUAAUCUGUCACGCCCUGGGACACAGCAUAGGCCCGCCCGGUGCGUGCCCAGACCCGCCAUAUGCCUACACAUAUAAGGCGUCUACAACAAAAGAAAUAUAAAAGCAAGGAAAGUAGAACAUCUAUAAAUAUCAGAGCAACUAGCAUGUAAAAACUAACAACAAGUAGGAAAAAAAAGAAACUGAACACUAAAGCAUAAUGUAAACUAAUACAUCAUAGAUCUCAAUAUACAAAAGUAGGGUGGUCUCUAUAACAAGGUACAAAACUCUCACAACCUCUCCAAAUGAAAAACAAAAGAGAGGUGGACCACCUAUCGCCGAGUCCCUUGAUAGCUAGCUCGAGACGAAACCUUUCCCGCGAUCCCGAGCCCCUCCCGAAGUGGAAGGCUCUAAAAUAGAACAUAAAACAGGGGGCGUGAGAACUAUAAUUUAUAAUUCCCAGUGGGCAAUUACUGACCUUAGCCAAAUGCACCAUUAGGCCCAAAUCAUGAGCAGAUAUAGACAAUGAAAUAAUAACUGCGGAAAUAAAAGCAUAUAAUAAAUGCUAUACUACUAUGCCACAAGUAAACAUGAUAUGAACAUGGAGUACAUCUACUCUAUCAUGAUCUAAUAUGCCGAUACAUAACAAGUAUGCUCUAUCAUGGCUACCAAGUAAGCUGUGAUGCAACAAGUAUUACUAUCAAGUAUACCACAUAUCAAAGUGUCCAAUACAUAUCUAGGAUGCACUAAUAUGGCAACCAAGUAUACUCUAUGUCCCAAUGUCCACUGAAUCCAACUACGAUAUACUAUCAAGUAGUGAUUAUAACAUAUACGACUCCGUGUCGAUUUCCAUGUCCCAAUUAAGGACCUACACAAGGUAGUCCAGCUUGUGCCGCCUAGCUGCCUGUGGUAGCCCAUCAUUCCAUGCUAGGAAUGAGUCUGUCCCACACGGCCCUGCAGGCGUCUCGCCGCCUAGCUGCCCGUGGUAGCUCAUCAUCCCGCGCUGGAAUGAGACUAUCCCAUGCGACCCUACAGGCGUCUCAAUCCCGCAUGCGUGAACCGUGUCGCAAAAGGCCAACUCCGGAGUGCCGGCUUGUAGGGAGCGACCCUCACAAGCAUGUGCGAAUGAGCACAAAUGGCAAGCAAGCAAAGUCAUCAUCUCAACGAUCAGGUCAUCAUGGCUCUACCAUGGAAAUGAUCGCUAGCAACUCAUAGGUCUAGUCCAAUGUCCCAAGUGAAGGUUUAACCGUUCAAUAAUUCCAAUACCCUUUUUGUGACCUUAGAUUUACUAAGUCCAUACAUAUUUCAAGCCUAAUGCCUCUUUAUAACAUUAGCUUACUAUACCAAUUCCAAGCCUAAUGUCUCUUUAUGACAUUAGCUUAUUAUCUAUGCCAAGCAUGAAUUCUAAGUCCAAGAGUGUAUGAAGCUUGUCAUAUUCACUAUAUGCAACAUGAUCCAAAGUUACAAUAAGAAUGCUAUCCAUAGAGCCGAGCCCAACAUGAAAUUCUCUACUACAUAGAGGUCCAAAAAUGCAUUAUACAUAACAUGUGUAUUUUCAGCAUUCUAAAAUUCUCAAUAAUUCUAUUUAGCAUGAAUAUGCAUGCAUUUUCAUUUUACGAUAAGUAAAAACCAUUAUAGGGAUGAUUUAUUCCAUUUUGGUGAGGCCAAACCCACCACAACUCUUGCGCUCCUUCGUUUGCUCCGACGAAGGUGUCCACUAGUCUCCUAGCAUCCUAAAGAUGUAGGAACAAGAGUUAAACGAACCUUAUGAACAACCAUAAGGUUGAUCAUUAACCAUCUCAAGCUAAGGUGGAAAAAAACUCACCGAAUGCGAAGGAAGCUCUCUCGAUCUCCAAAUGGGAGUUAAAGUCUUUCCAAACCAACCUAAACAAGGGUUCUAAACCCAUCAAUUAGGUUCCAAAGCCCCCAAAUCAAAAAUUCCCAAAAUAACCCUAAAUCCCAAAAUCUAGGAUUUUAUUUGAUAAAACCUACCGAAACAUGCUCUAAAGAAUAGAUUAAGCAUACUAACCUCCUUGGUAGCUCCAAACAAAGCUCAAAAUGCUCUAAGGUUGAAGAUUGAUUCUCUAUCGAGCUCCUAGCCCAAGCUCCAAGCCUCCAAUGGUGAAGAAAGAGAGAAAGGGUUGAUGCUCCAAGCCUCCUCAAGCAAGCUCCUCCUCUCCUCCUUCUCCUUCCUCUUCUUCUUCUUCUCUUUCUAGAGGAUGUGAGAGAGUGAGAAGUGAGGGAAUGAGAGAGAGAAAAUGGCCUAUAAGCCCUCCCAAGUAACAAUAUCCACUUAGGUCCCCCAACAAUCCAUCCUGUGCAUCAGCCCAAACUGGGCAGUUUUCGCCCAGAUGGACCGGUCUCUCCCUGCCUGGGACCGGUCUCUCGGUUCGUCCCGUAAAACCAACGUUCGGGAACCAGUCUCUCCCCACAUGGGACCGGUCUCUCCCCGCGAAAAUGUACUCGGGGACCGGUCUCAACCGCUAAGGACCGGUUGCCUCAAGUCCUGCCGCAGCACUGUUCCGGGGUGACCGGUCUCUCCCACCAAGGACCGGUCCCCGAGAGUGAAAACUCUCAGGACUUGCCAAAAUCCAAAAUUCAAACUUUUUAGGUCGGAAUACAUUCUACGACCCUCCACAAAGCAUGGAAAAGCUCGGAACUCAAGUCAAACACUCGAACCUUGCAAUUUGCACGGGUCUAGUGUGUUACAGUGAGAGAUAGAAACGUGAGGGGCUUCUUAGCAUUUUGUUACAAUAUAAGAGGGGAUUAAGAGAGGGCUUCUCUCUCUCUCUCUCUCUCUCUCUCUCUCUCUCUCUCUCUCUCUCUUUCCCUCACUCUCUUUCAUCUCUCUCUCUCUCUCUGUACGUGAAGGAGAAGAGAAGAAAGAAAAGAAAAGAAGAAGAAAGAAAGGAAAAGAGAAGAAGAAAAGAAGGAGAAGAUGGAAGAGAAGAAGAGGAUCAUCAUCACCAUCAUCAUCAUCUUCUUCUUCUCACCAUUGGAGCAAGCUUAGAGAGGUAAGCUUGGUGCUCUCUCAUGGUAGAUCUUUAGAGAUAGGUUUUUGAUCUCUAAGAAUGGAUGGAAUGGAACCCUAGCAUGCUAUUAAGAUGGUUUUUCCCCAUUUCAUAGAUCGAUUUAGUGGAUUUGGUAGUAGUAGCAUCUAGGGUAUCCAAAAUGGGGUUUUGGUAUAUAUGAGGGUUUGAUCUCAUUUGACCCUCUAUAAACCUAAUUGUUAGGUGUCUAAACGCAUGGGAAGCGACGGAUUGAGCAUUCGUCGAGCAGGUGUAGAGAUAUCGGCAAAAUAAGGCCGAGCGAGCUUCGUUUUGACCAAGAGGGCCGAGGCGACGUCUAUAAAUCGCGAAAUUGGGUCCCGAGCACUGUAACAACAAAGCGAAGACCUUUAGUUCUCGGAACUGCCAAGCGGCGCGCUGUUGGAGCGCAACUGCGAGAUCGGGCCAAAUUGGGUGCCGAGUGCCGCAGGAGGCCGAUUGCAAGUGUCGACGAGCAAUCGGAAAGCUAGCUAAGGUGGGUUGUGCUUAUCGAAGCGACUAGGUCGCCCUUUAUGUCUAAGAAACAUACGAUUUCAUAUUGAUGCAUGUUAAUAAAAUGACAUAGAUGAUGCAUGUGGUAAAAUGCUAAGUAGAUGCAUAUAAAAUGAUAUAGAGAUCAAAGAAUGCAUGAUUAGCAUUGUAAGAAUGCACCAGGUAGAUAUGCAUGUAAACUAGAUGAUAACUCUAGGGUGAGUAGAGUUGAUUGACAAGAGAGAUAUAUGAUACUCGAUUGGACAACAAGGAUGUCGAAUAGAUCGAGUGGCACCUAACCUAGUAUUAAAGAACAUAGGUUGAACGAGUAAACCUAGAGUCGAACAAGUCUAGGUGUGUGGCAUCGAACCUAGUGUUAAUAAACAUAGGUCAGACAAGUGAACCUAGAAGUUGAUAUCUAGGUAGAGAUGAUAUGGAACCUAGUGUUUGUACCUAGGUUAUGUGACUGAGACCUGGAACCUAGAGUGAUAUUGAACCUAGGUUGUUGAGUACAGUGGUAUUAGCCACUAGGAUGUUCUAGGUCGACAGCAUAGGGUUGGCUAUGGACCCUCGACCUGUGGAAGUGGAUUCCGGAAUCCCAGGACUUGUGAUGACCCUGGUAUCAAGGCUAGGGCGUGUGCGACGACUUCGCCGCCGAGGUUGAUACAGAGGGAGGAUUGGGGGCGAUCACUUGGAGAUCACCGCCCGGGGCUUGAACCAUUGACGUGGCGUGUGCGACGACUUCGCCGCCGGAUGGUUAAGCCGAUUGUGGAUCAGACCGCCGAGAUUUACUGCAACCAUUACUGGGUAAGUACGAUAUGGGUGCCACGAGGUGGCUAAGUCACGAUAGAAACCAUUGUUUGGUGAGGUGCGAUUAGUUCGCCGCCAGAUGGGUAUGUCAUGACUUGAGUCCUCGCUGGGUAAGUGCAACGUGUCCGCAGCCAGAAUGGCUAUGUCAAGGGACUUGAGCUGGGUUCAGCGUGUGCGACGAUUUUGCCGCUAAGAGGCUAAGUCACAGAGGGCGGUAGGCUAUUGAGUAGCCAGUGCGCGAACUAUCUGCGGAUGAUUGACUCGAAGCCGAGUCGAAUGGUUAGCUUCGAUAAGGUAGUGGAACCCUUAUGAGCUAGAGAUAGAGGCUUGGGCAAAGGUAAUAGAGACCUUAGAAGCCAGUGGACUUGGAGUGACUCUAAGGUAGUAGAAACCUUAGUGUUGAAUGUUAUGAGCUAAGAGUAGUCAAGUAAAGUGUAGAAUCAAUUGAUCUACUAGUUGUUGCAUAGAGUUGGAUAAUUUUCAUAUCGCAUAUCGUGAGACAUGGCAUGUAUUUCAAUUCGAAUAUAUAUAUCUGUCGUAUAUUGUUGAACUAACAUGUUGCAGUGCCUUCUCGGACCUAUCGGUCGACCUUUUCCCUUGGGUGGCCGUACCCACUGGGAACCAUGGAGUUGGUUCUCACCCCACGUUAUUUUGGGGUGUUUCAGGUCCGCACGUGAGCGGCGCGGGGGCGCGAGGCAAGGGCGUAGCUCCAUAGAUAGCGCCCUACCCUAGAGACCGAGGUAGCAGUACCCUGAGGCAGUCUAGCUUAGGGGACUAGAGGUUAAUGAAACAAAAGUAUCAACUUGUAUUAAUUGUAAUAAUCGGAUUGUAUUUUGGAAGUUCAAGGUAAACAAAUGUAUUAUGUGGAACUUGAGAAUGAAUGCUUGUAAUAACAUAGGAUGUGUUAUGUUUUUGAUACUUCAUUAUGCAAUCUGUUGUUGAGUACUGUUCCUGGUUGGAACCUCUGUAUUGUGUUGAUUGCGAUGCCUUGAAUGUACAGGGGAGACUCUGUCCGUAGUACAGGAAAAACUCUGUCCGUUCGGCGGUCUGUCGGCGUGCCCAC
Molecule: long non-coding RNA, 7781 nt
Filed under: Ananas comosus (pineapple)
Lineage: Eukaryota; Viridiplantae; Streptophyta; Magnoliopsida; Poales; Bromeliaceae
Description: long non-coding RNA (ACOM_LNC008877)
Source: RNAcentral